AUGCCUCCCUUGGGAUCCUGCCGCCCCAGGGCACCAGGAGAUCCAGCUCUCUGGGAGGCCAGGAAACCAUCCCAAAGCCGUGUCUCCCUGCUGAGGGACACAACAUUCGCCCAAAGCCUGGGCAAUCCUCUUAGGGCUGUUCCCCAUUGUAAACAGCAUGGUAGGAGUUUCCAAGCAGGAGAGUGCACAGAGGCCUGGUUGAACUCUCUGGGAAGCCCUGAGCCAUCUACCCAGAGGAAGGAAUUAUUUUGCCCCAGGAAACUCAUUUAUAGUGAAAUGAGUGAAAGGUCUGGGCAUCUGGCCCCACGUGGGGCUUGUUCUCGGGUUAUUGCUUUAGCACCGUUUCAUCUGGCUCUCUGGAGCUUGGGACAUCUCCCUGCCAACAUCACACCUGGUUUCAACUGGAAGGGAGAGGACUUCAGAUUUUCAUCUUCUGGGCCUCUUUGUUAUUAUUGGAGCCAAGCCAAGAUGAACACCGAGCUUUGACGGCUUCUGUACAAAGUGGGAUUUGAGAGUGGCAGCUUUCUUGGUUGGAGAACUGCUCAGGACAGGUAGCCGAUACACCUACCAAACUGCCUAGUGGGAGCUGGAGGGUCAUGUUCUCACCUGAUUGGUGUUCCCAAUAGAUGUCCUCCUCUGAUCCAGGUACUGUUCCAACCACUAACUCCUCUGUGCUUUGCAAUUUCCCAGGAUGUCAGAAUCCAUAUGUAUUUCUUUCUCUUUUUGUGGAAUAUGAUUGCUUUACAAUGUUGAGUUAUUUUCUGCUAUACAACAACAUGAAUCAAGCAUAUGUGUGUGUGUGUAUAUAUAUAUAUCUUCCCUCUUGAGCCUCUCUUCCACCCCUACCCCCAUCCUACCCUUCUAGGUCAUCACGAGCACUGAGCUGAGCUCCCUGAGCUAUGUAGCAGCUUCCUUCUAGCUAUCUAUUUUACAUAGGGUCAUAUAUGUAUUUCCAUGCUACGCUUUCUAUUUAUCCCACCCUUUCCUUCUACAAGGACAGGGUCCACAAGUCCUUCUCUACAUCUGUGCCUCUAUUUUUGUGCUGUAAAUGGGUUCAUCCCCAUACCAGUUUUCUAGAUUCCAUAUUUAAAUAUGUAUAUGAUGCUAAAGCUGAAACUCCAGUACUUUGGCCACCUCGUGCAAAGAGCUGACUCAUUGGAAAAGACUGAUGCUGGGAGGGAUUGGGAGCAGGAGGAGAAGGGGACAACAGAGGAUGAGAUGGCUGGAUGGCAUCACCGACUUGAUGGACAUGAGUUUGAGUGAACUCCGGGAGUUGGUGAUGGACAGGGAGGCCUGGUGUGCUGCAAUUCAUGGGGUCGCAGAGUCAGACACGACUGAGCGACUGAACUGAACUGAACUGAAUAUAUUUAUCUAUGUGAAUGUAGGAUAUUCGUUUUUCUCUUUCUGGCCCUUCACUCUGUGUGACAGGCUCUAGGUUAAUUCACAUACUACAGCUGAUUCAAGUCCAUUCCUUUCUGUGGCUGAGUAAUAUUCCACUGUGUAUACGUGCCACACUGUCUUUAUCCACUCAUCUGCCGACAGACAUCUAGGUUGCUUCCACUUCUGGCUGUUGUAAUAGCGCUGCAGUGCGCACUGCGAUACACGUGCCUUUUUGAAUUAUGAUGUUCUCAGGGUUAUUCUCAGGAAUGGGAUUGCUUCUGGCAAGAAGGUUGUUUACUUCCAGGUCCUCAGGGAUGAAAAUAGCAGCAAGUGAGAACCGGGCCCUGUUGUUGGAGAUGUGAGGGCUUAAAUCUCAUUCUGAUGACUGGUUUGGACCCUGGUUGGUGCCCCAGCGAGACAGUGUGUGUGUGCUUGUGUGUGUGCUCAGUCAUGUCCGACUCUUUGCAACCCCAUGGAAUGUAUAGCCCGCCAGGCUCCUCUAUCCAUGGGAUUUCCCAGGCAAGAAUACUGCAGUGGGCUGCCAUUUCCUUCUCCAGGGGAUAUUCCUGAAUCAGGGACUGAAUCCAUGUCUCCUGUUUGGCAGGCGUAUUCUUCACCAUUGAGCCACCAGGGACGCCAGCAGACGGCAGCUGGAUGAUAUGUAUGGUGAGCUUGACCCGAGCUCUAGUUUUCUCCUCUGCUUCUCUCCUCCUCCCUCCUCGCCUACUCAUCCUUACUCUGAAAGUCUAGGCCUUGGGAGGCAUUAGGUUGAGGGGAGAUCAGGAAGAAGGUUGGAAGGAAUUCUUCCGUACUUUAUAGCAAGCAGCUCUGGCAAUACCACGUUCCGUCAGCCACUGGUGACCAGCAUUGAAGAGCGUGGAUCCCCUAGCUGUUUCUUUCACUGGAUGAGCACUGGGGUAGUUUUGAGAUGAACUGGCUAUUGUUAGAAACAUUUAGAAAAGUCUCCCCUUUCCUCCAAUUUCCUCCUCUCUGCCAGUCUCAGCUCUCACAGCUGGAAGAAAUUUCUCCUUCAUCUGCUGUAUUCAGUCUUUCACUAAGCUCCAUCAAUUUUGCCUUUGAAAAUUUUUUUUGUACCCGCCCCUUCUCUCGUUCCCACUGCUAAUCCCCGAGGCCUGGCUCUCAUUCCCUUUGCAUGCCGAGCUGCCUCCAGCACCUCUUGGCAGAGUUCCCUGCCUCUGGUCUCUCCGUUUUCAAUCCAAGCCAGUCUCUUCUCUCUCAAGCUCCGUGUGCAUCUUAGGAUGCCUCAGUUCAAAUUCUGCAGACUCUCCAAAGCACUUGGCAUCGCCUAGAUGGCUUUUGCAGCUCCCACUGCCUUAAUUUCUUCUCAGAGCAGGGUUGUAUUAGUUACCUGUGGCUGCUGUAACAAGUUACCACAAACAUGGUGGCUUAGAACCACCAAAAGUUGUCCUCUUAGAGUGUGGGAGACCAGAAAUCUCAACUGUCUUAGGGACCUAAUCAAAGUGUCAGCGGGGCUGCGCUUCCUUGGCAAGGCUCCAGGGGAGAAUCCCUUUCCUGCCUCUUGCAGCUUCUGGUGGCCACUGACGUUCUCAGCUUGUGGCAUAUCACUCCUCUGCCUCUGCAGUCAGUCUUCCUGCCUCUGAGGUCAUUUUGUCUUCCCCUGAUCUGUCUGUGUAUCAAAUAUCCUUCUUAAAUGGAUUGUACUUUGAGCAAGUCUGGAUUAUCCAGAAUAAUCUCCCCAUCUCAAAAUCCUUAAAUUUAUCACAUCUGGAAAAUCCCUUUUGCCAACUAAAGUGAUAUUCACAGGCUCCUGCCAGGGUCCUCUGUCCAUGGGAUUUUCCAGGCAAGAGUACUGGAGUGGGCUGCCAUUUCCUUCUCCAGGGGAUCUUCCCAACCCAGGGAUCGAACCUGGGUCUUCCACAUUGUAGGCAGAUCCUUUUACUGUCUGAGCCACCAGGGAAGUAGAUAUCUUGGGGGACCAUUUUCUAGCCUAUCUCAGGCUUCUUAUCCAUUCAACACUUCAACAAAUAUCUAUUGAGCGCCUACUGUGUGCUGGGCUGUGUUCUAGGCAACGAGGUUCAUAAAGAGCGUUUUUUUUCAGACCCAUUAGCCCUCAGGGUGAAUGACGCUUAUCUCGGCUGUUUACCUCCUGGUGCUUGGCUGUUCAGUUGCUAAGUGAUGUUCUGCUUUUUGCAGCCCCCUGGACUGCAGCUCACCAGGCUCGUCUGUCCAUGGGACUUUCCAGGCAAGAAUACUGGAAUGGGCCGUCAUUUCUUCAAGGGGAUCUUCCUGACCCAGGGAUGGAACCCUCAUCUCCUGAGUCUCCUGCAUUGGCAGGUGGAUUCUUUCCCACUGUGCCACCCAGGAAGCCUUCCCACCUGGAAUGCGGUAUUUUUACAUAGCAGGAUCACCACAUUGUAUCACUGUUACAUGCCUGUCCCCUUCCAUUUCUAUGAGCCCCUUGAAGAUUACGCUAACUUACUUAUAUUUGUACUGAAUGCUAGAUGGGACUCAGUGAAGGUUUGUUAAAUCAAUGAACAAGUCUCUUAUGGCUUCCCUUCAUUCCUGCUGAAUAUAUUUCUAAUUUCCUUGGAUGCUAUGUGAAAUCACUCAGUUGUGUCUGACUCUUUGCAAGCCCAUGGACUAUAGCCUGCCAGGCUCCUCUGUCCAUGGAAUUCUCCAGGCAAGAAUAUUGAUGUGGGAUGCCAUUUCCUUCUCCAAUAAUACAGUUCUGUCUCAGAAUUAAAUAUUUAGGGUCUGGCCUUCUUGGUGGUUGUCUCCUUGGGCCUGGGUCAAGGGAUAUAGCUGUUGAGGGCAUAUGCUGUCCUACUUUGCUCCAUCCCUGGAAGUGUUAUAUACAAUUGUUUCUUCAAUGCUUCCCACUAGCAAUUUCUAUUGCCCAUUGGCUUUGGGAGGAUUGUGAGAGAGAGGAAGUGGAAACAUUAGAAGACUGUGGUCCUCAUCACUCCUGGGUCACAUUUUCCUGAGGGCUUUACUUCUUGGUGUCAUCCAAGCAUGGCUCAUCUAUAGCUACCACCUCUGGUAGGACAGCACAGUUCAGAUCUGGUAAGACAGUGCUCUUUGCUUCCCUUGGCAGAUGAGAUGAAUCAUCUCCUUUGUAGGGCCUUUUCCCACAAGACCUAACAUAAUACAGAAGAGGGACAGACUGUACUCUGUAUGGCCUUGUGAUGUUGGUUUACAAUUUUAAAGUUAAUCCUUGUUUCCCUGUCUUAGGAAAGCAAAAAUGUAUUUAGUAUAAUAAAUUAGUGGUGCCACUGGAGGCUGGUGAAUCUGUACACAGCCCUUGGAAAUGUGGGGCAUGGUUGUAACCAAAUGUCUAGAAAAAAGCAUUUUGAA
Molecule: long non-coding RNA, 4716 nt
Filed under: Ovis aries (sheep)
Lineage: Eukaryota; Metazoa; Chordata; Mammalia; Artiodactyla; Bovidae
Description: lncRNA (ENSOARG00000026699.1)
Source: RNAcentral